This 677-nucleotide ribosomal RNA is filed under the name uncultured eukaryote. RNAcentral's name for it is "partial Bacterial small subunit ribosomal RNA". It matches the Rfam family "Bacterial small subunit ribosomal RNA", at positions 103 to 788 of the family's 1533-position model. The record is from RNAcentral.
CGGGUGAGUAACACGUAAGAAUUUACCUUUAGGAGGGGGACAACAAUUGGAAACGAUUGCUAAUACCCCAUAUGCUUUCGAGUGAAACGGAUUUAUCCGCCUAUUGAGAAGCUUGCGGCUGAUUAGCUUGUUGGUAAGGUAAUGGCUUACCAAGGCGACGAUCAGUAUCUGGUUUGAGAGGAUGAUCAGCCACACUGGAACUGAGACACGGUCCAGACUCCUACGGGAGGCAGCAGUGGGGAAUAUUGGACAAUGGGCGCAAGCCUGAUCCAGCCAUACCGCGUGAGUGAAGAAGGCCCUCGGGUUGUAAAGCUCUUUUGUUGGGAAAGAAAUCCUGCCGGUUAAUACCUGGCAGGGAUGACGGUACCCAAAGAAUAAGCACCGGCUAACUUCGUGCCAGCAGCCGCGGUAAUACGAAGGGUGCAAGCGUUACUCGGAAUUACUGGGCGUAAAGCGUGCGUAGGUGGUUGUUUAAGUCUGUCGUGAAAGCCCUGGGCUCAACCUGGGAAUUGCGAUGGAUACUGGGCAACUAGAGUGUGGUAGAGGGUGGCGGAAUUCCCGGUGUAGCAGUGAAAUGCGUAGAGAUCGGGAGGAACAUCCGUGGCGAAGGCGGCCACCUGGGCCAACACUGACACUGAGGCACGAAAGCGUGGGGAGCAAACAGGAUUAGAUACCCU